Cyprinus carpio carpio is the source of this 1475-nucleotide long non-coding RNA. The record is from Ensembl. Lineage: Eukaryota; Metazoa; Chordata; Actinopteri; Cypriniformes; Cyprinidae.
UUUGCAUUAUAUAAUGUAAUAUCAAGGUGGCAUUUAUAUCUAUCUAUCUAUCUAUCUAUCUAUCUAUCUAUCUAUCUAUCUAUCUAUCUAUCUAUCUAUCUAUCUAUCUAUCUAUCUAUCUGUCUGUCUGUCUGUCUGUCUGUCUGUCUGUCUGUCUGUCUCUCUGCCUGUCUGUCUGUCUGUCUGUCUGUCUGUCUCUCUGCCUGUCUGUCUAUAUUGUGGUUGAAAAAUGUUGGAUGGUAUUUGAGGAGAACAGACUUCACAUCUACUAUAUAUAUAUGUUGCAUUAAAUACAUUUUAAAUAAAAAAAAAUAUAUAUAUAUUUAAUUAUUAUUCUUCCUUAAAGGAGGAACUGUAUGCAAUGCAUUUAAACCCAAUGCAUUAAUGGAAAAAACAAUAUUUAGAUAUUGAUUUCACCAUUUUGAAAAGAAAAUAAUAAUAAUAAUUAUUUGCAAUAUGUCCCCCAAAAAAACUGUUUGUCCUACCUCCCCACUUAUUUUAGUCUCUUUUUCCUUCUCCUUUGCACUGCUUUUCUCCUUCAUUCGACUGUCUCUCCUGUGGAGUGGGCGUUGUGGUGGAUGGUGUUGGCAUACAGCUGUCAGAGAUGAAGACAUACAAAGCAAAAGGAUGUGUGUAGGAGGACUGGAGAUGGAAGAAGCUUUUGUAUCUUCAAUCAGACGCCGCUCAGCGAUUAAUCUCACUCCAUGGUCAUCUGCUCAUGGAAACAUUUGAAGUUUUCAAGACGACAUGUACAAAUGCAAUUAUCAUCUUAUUUAAUGUUCAAACUAAAUGAUGAAGUUCUCCUCAUAAAGCUUCCAAGUUCUCCUGGAAUAUUUUCAUUUUCUGCACUCGUGUGGUGUUUUGAUAGCCAGAGAUUUUAACAAGAGAUUUUUUCCCCUCAAUACCACUCACCUUCAAGUAAGAUUUAUAGUCGCUGCUAGCGGUUUUUCAUUUAUGAGUUAAGAUUAGGAUUUGGACGGGCCAGAAAACAGCCCUGCAUCCCAUAAAAAUCUAAUUCUGCCCAUGGGUGGCUGCCUGGCUAUGCAACAGUCUCUUUAAGAGUUAUGAAGGUAGGGAAAACGGGAUAGUAGAUACGGAUCAGAAAGGUUGCAGGUUCACUCCCAGUUUGAAGUACCUGAGCAACUCGGGAGUUCCAGAGAUCACAAUCCUACUCUAGUCGCUAAUACAAUUUAUGCCUUGAAGCAAGGCACUUAACCACUAGUUCAUCCAUUGGGACUGUCCCUGGAUUUUGUGUACAGUAAAUUGCUUAAGUUAAACUACAUUAUAACCAUACAGAUGGGGCUGUAUUAGUGUUGUCUUCUAAAAACAUACAGCGAAGAGGGCAGUGCUAGAAGCAGGAGCUUUUGGCAUUGAAACACCAGGCUUUUUUCUUCCCUCAUUCAUCACAGUGAUUGCCCAGAUCAAUUCACAUUUGUGCUUUACCUGGCUCUAACUCAAAUGCAUUUCACCAGAAU